GUCCAGCCACUUCCUUCCGCCCCAGCGAUUGAGACGUCGUUCCGCGCCGGCAGAACCGGGCUGCGCAGUCGCAGCUCGCAACCGCGGCCAGACCUAGCCCCGGAACUAACCUUCAAAGGUUUGGGGACCCGAUAGGAAGUGUCUCGAGAAGGGCUGCUUCCGCUGGUGCGAUGCGGAGUUGCCAGGCCGCCAUCUUGUCUUCGGCAGCUCUGAGGUAUCGGGAAAGAACAAAGGAGCGCCCCCAAAGAAGCACAACUACCAUCAAAAAAGGACGGAUUUGUUAAGGGAGGAAGGCUCCUAAGUAGAACAAUGGCUUUAAGUGGGCCUUGGGUUUCUGGAGGCGUCCUGCGUCUAGCACCGUUGACGUGGCGCCAUCUCGUGGGACUGUAGGAAGGUUGCACGGGCUUCCUGACUGGCUCUGGGCGCCGUGGUGGAAAGCGGCACGGUUUCAAGUGGCCGAACGCUCCAUUCUCCCUUGCCUAUAUGAGCUCUUGAUACGAAGUUUUCCACUGCCUUCGCUCUUUACUAGCGGUUUAUUUUGUAUUUUCAGCAGGGUUUGGAUUGAGUGAAUUUCCACGUAAAAUGUGGAGGAAUUCUUAGGACUUUGGGUUGCAGCAGCCCGGAUUAGUAAACCCCCAGCGUAAAACCGUUUUUCAAAUUAUCUUAAUUAUGACAGCAUAGAGACGUCCAUAACACCCAGUAAACCGAGACAGAAAACAAACAGUACCCAUUGGGAGGUAGAGCAAUCUGCUGUCAGCUUACAGAUGCUUAGGGGAGUUACUAGCAUCAGCAAGUCAAGGAAAAUGCUGCUACACUACACUUUAUAUUAAUGUAACAUUAAGGCAUGCAACCUGUACGAACUUCUCACACAAACUUGCACAAAAUGACAAGUUAGACAGGGAUGUAUGUCGUGUAUAGUUGCAACUUAAAUAAAAGUCUCAAACCACCAGUCCCAUGGCCUAUAGUGAUAAAAAUAAAAACAAUCCUUUUCUGGAGUGGACAAUGACAGAAAGGUGCCACCCUUUGAAGUUUAUGAAAAGGUGAAAUAAAAAGGAGGAGGACAUGGCUACUUCUAAAGUAUGGAGAAGAUUUUUUUUAUUAUUUUUAAUUUUUUUUUGUAGCUAUAAGGAAGACAGGCAGAGGGAAGGGUCCAGGUCGAACAUGACUGUUAGACUAAAUACAACAUAAGAGCAAGAGGGGCCUUGAACCUGUAAGAGUCCAUGAAUGGUCUAAGAAUCAUACCCUAGGCUCAAACAGUAUGUAAACGCACAGAGUGUUUUAUUCUGCAGAAGUCCAGCGGUGCUGGAGUCUCCCAUUACCAGAAAUAAAGAGUCAACCAAGUGAGCUUGAAGGCCUGAUUUAAUGCAUGUUAGGAGAUUCCAUUUAUUCCCUAGGGGAUGACCUCUAACCCCAUUUCUAUCGACAUUCCAUUACUCGGGCAUGGAGACUAAAAACUGUUGCUGAAGAAGUCUGGAAACUGGUGCCGACCCAUUGUCCUUGCCUCAGGCCAGGUGGUGAGGCAGCUUCUGCGGACUGGCCUUACCCAGUCAAACGGUCAAUUUAAAGCCUGUCAUGGAGUCAGCCUAACCUUCUCAGACCAAGAGAGGCUGACUCAAACAAGAGACCUAAGUAGCAAAAAUGGUUGAGUUAUAUAGGGACUGGUUUUGGCACAAGACACCCCAAGUCCAAAUUCUCAACACAAAGAUUUAUUUCCUCUAGUGGGACAAGCAACAGAUAGAGGCCUAGGAGAAGCAGAAAGGAGCAAGGUAGAGAGUGAAGGGCUAUUUGUCCUAGAGGGACAAAGGACUGUCUCUGAUUAAGAGAGGAGUCCAGGUUGGGAGAGAACAAAGGAGCAUCCCCAAAGAAGCACAAUU
This 1874-nucleotide long non-coding RNA is filed under the name Mus musculus (house mouse). Its description in RNAcentral is "long non-coding RNA chr1:160212942-160214816". Lineage: Eukaryota; Metazoa; Chordata; Mammalia; Rodentia; Muridae. The record is from RNAcentral.